This 492-nucleotide ribosomal RNA is filed under the name uncultured bacterium. RNAcentral's name for it is "partial 16S ribosomal RNA". It matches the Rfam family "Bacterial small subunit ribosomal RNA", at positions 29 to 507 of the family's 1533-position model. The record is from RNAcentral.
AGUGAACGCUGGCGGUAGGCCUAACACAUGCAAGUCGAACGGCAGCACAGUAAGAGCUUGCUCUUACGGGUGGCGAGUGGCGGACGGGUGAGGAAUACAUCGGAAUCUACUUUUUCGUGGGGGAUAACGUAGGGAAACUUACGCUAAUACCGCAUACGACCUACGGGUGAAAGCAGGGGAUCUUCGGGCCUUGCGCGAUUGAAUGAGCCGAUGUCGGAUUAGCUAGUUGGCGGGGUAAAGGCCCACCAAGGCGACGAUCCGUAGCUGGUCUGAGAGGAUGAUCAGCCACACUGGAACUGAGACACGGUCCAGACUCCUACGGGAGGCAGCAGUGGGGAAUAUUGGACAAUGGGCGCAAGCCUGAUCCAGCCAUACCGCGUGGGUGAAGAAGGCCUUCGGGUUGUAAAGCCCUUUUGUUGGGAAAGAAAAGCAGCAGGUUAAUACCCCGCCGUUCUGACGGUACCCAAAGAAUAAGCACCGGCUAACUUCGUG